AUGACUGUUCAAACUUCAAACAGGGGCGUCAGUUUGAGGUGUUCCCUUGGAGAUGCCCUAAUCUCGAAUCCAUCGUACCCCUCCAUCCAACGGCACAGAGACAGUUCCUGCUACCUCGCAAAAUUGCCACCCAGCCACAGCCCCCUCGCCGCCGCCGCCGCCGCCUCUAACCCCCGCCUUUGGCCACCUGCACCUCCCCGGGCCAGAAAUUCCUUCUCCGUACCCGUCGAUUCGCGGGAGGCGGCCAUGGAGCACGGUUCGGUGGCGGAUUCGAGCGCGUCGACCUUCUCCAUCAUGGAGGAGGAUCACACCCUCGCCAACUCCGUCAGAUUUGUCCUCAACCAGGACCCAAGGGUAGCAUUUUGUGGAUAUAGCAUCCCUCAUCCUGCAGACAACAAAGUCAACAUAAGAGUUCAGACUACAGGAGAUCCAGCAAAGGAUGUAAUGAAAGAUGCUUUACAGGACUUGAUGGUGAUGGGCCAGCAUGUUAGAGGGACUUUUGACAAAGCAGUGGCUGAUUUUAAAUCAAAGAUGCCUGCAGAACAAAUGGAUGUUGAUUUGAAUCAGCAAUGA
This 573-nucleotide ribosomal RNA is filed under the name Triticum aestivum (bread wheat). Its description in RNAcentral is "partial small subunit ribosomal RNA". Lineage: Eukaryota; Viridiplantae; Streptophyta; Magnoliopsida; Poales; Poaceae. The record is from RNAcentral.